RNAcentral lists this ribosomal RNA (250 nucleotides) under uncultured bacterium. Its description in RNAcentral is "partial 16S ribosomal RNA". It matches the Rfam family "Bacterial small subunit ribosomal RNA", at positions 524 to 773 of the family's 1533-position model. The record is from RNAcentral.
GACGUAGGGGGCCAGCGUUGCUCGGAAUAACUGGGCGUAAAGGGUUCGUAGGCGGUGUGGGUAGUCGGGAGUGAAAUCGUCUGGCUCAACUGGACGGCUGCUUCCGAAACUCCCAUGCUGGAGUGCGGGAGAGGCGAGUGGAAUUGCAGGUGUAGCGGUGAAAUGCGUAGAUAUCUGCAGGAACACCAGUGGCGAAAGCGGCUCGCUGGACCGCAACUGACGCUGAGGAACGAAAGCUAGGGGAGCAAAC